RNAcentral lists this ribosomal RNA (493 nucleotides) under uncultured bacterium. Its description in RNAcentral is "partial 16S ribosomal RNA". It matches the Rfam family "Bacterial small subunit ribosomal RNA", at positions 30 to 523 of the family's 1533-position model. The record is from RNAcentral.
AUUGAACGCUGGCGGUAUGCCUUACACAUGCAAGUCGAUCGGUAACAGGUUAAGCUGACGAGUGGCGAACGGGUGAGUAAUACAUCGGAACGUGCCCAGUAGUGGGGGAUAGCCCGGCGAAAGCCGGAUUAAUACCGCAUACGACCUAAGGGUGAAAGGGGGGGAUCGCAAGACCUCUCGCUAUUGGAGCGGCCGAUGUCAGAUUAGGUAGUUGGUGGGGUAAAGGCCCACCAAGCCGACGAUCUGUAGCUGGUCUGAGAGGACGACCAGCCAAACUGGGACUGAGACACGGCCCAGACUCCUACGGGAGGCAGCAGUGGGGAAUUUUGGACAAUGGGCGCAAGCCUGAUCCAGCCAUGCCGCGUGCGGGAAGAAGGCCUUCGGGUUGUAAACCGCUUUUGUCAGGGAAGAAAUCCUUUGGGUUAAUGCCUCGGGGGGAUGACGGUACCUGAAGAAUAAGCACCGGCUAACUACGUGCCAGCCGCCGCCGUAA